GCAUAUCAAUAAGCGGAGGAAAAAGAAACCAACAGGGAUUGCCCUAGUAACGGCGAGUGAAGCGGCAACAGCUCAAAUUUGAAAUCUGGCCCUCGGGUCCGAGUUGUAAUUUGUAGAGGAUGCUUUUGGUGAGGUGCCUUCCGAGUUCCCUGGAACGGGACGCCAUAGAGGGUGAGAGCCCCGUCUGGUUGGAUACCGAGCCUCUGUAAAGCUCCUUCGACGAGUCGAGUAGUUUGGGAAUGCUGCUCUAAAUGGGAGGUAUAUGUCUUCUAAAGCUAAAUAUUGGCCAGAGACCGAUAGCGCACAAGUAGAGUGAUCGAAAGAUGAAAAGCACUUUGAAAAGAGAGUUAAAAAGUACGUGAAAUUGUUGAAAGGGAAGCGCUUAUGACCAGACUUGGGCUUGGUUGAUCAUCCUGGGUUCUCCCUGGUGCACUCUUCCAGUUCAGGCCAGCAUCAGUUCGCUGCGGGGGAUAAAAGCUUUGGGAAUGUGGCUCCCUCGGGAGUGUUAUAGCCCAUUGCAUAAUACCCUGCUCCGGACUGAGGUUCGCGCAUCUGCAAGGAUGCUGGCGUAAUGGUCAUCAGCGACCCGUCUUGAAACACGGACCAAGGAGUCGUCUUCGUAUGCGAGUGUUCGGGUGUUAAACCCCUACGCGUAAUGAAAGUGAACGCAGGUGAGAGCUUCGGCGCAUCAUCGACCGAUCCUGAUGUUCUCGGAUGGAUUUGAGUAAGAGCAUACGGGGCCGGACCCGAAAGAAGGUGAACUAUGCCUGUAUAGGGUGAAGCCAGAGGAAACUCUGGUGGAGGCUCGCAGCGGUUCUGACGUGCAAAUCGAUCCGUCAAAUAUGGGCAUGGGGGCGAAAGACUAAUCGAACCUUCUAGUAGCUGGUUUCCGCCGAAG
This 898-nucleotide ribosomal RNA is filed under the name Calonectria naviculata. RNAcentral's name for it is "LSU rRNA". It matches the Rfam family "Eukaryotic large subunit ribosomal RNA", at positions 38 to 966 of the family's 3401-position model. The record is from RNAcentral. Lineage: Eukaryota; Fungi; Ascomycota; Sordariomycetes; Hypocreales; Nectriaceae.